AUGAUUGGAUUGUUUCUGAGAUGUGCUGGAGAGCCGCUUUGGCUAAUUGCUUGCAGACUGCGAUCCAACCAGGCUUGCCAACCGUGGAGGCAGUAUGGAGGGGCUAAGAGAUGCUCAAGUCCACUAGGAGUUUCGUACAGUUCUGGCCAUGAGAUGGAAGUCCCAGGGAAGAUCACAAAAUACAGCACUUGA
This 192-nucleotide long non-coding RNA is filed under the name Bos indicus x Bos taurus (hybrid cattle). RNAcentral's name for it is "lncRNA (ENSBIXG00000013585.1)". Lineage: Eukaryota; Metazoa; Chordata; Mammalia; Artiodactyla; Bovidae. The record is from RNAcentral.